This 1401-nucleotide ribosomal RNA is filed under the name uncultured bacterium. RNAcentral's name for it is "bacterial SSU rRNA". It matches the Rfam family "Bacterial small subunit ribosomal RNA". The record is from RNAcentral.
AGUUUGAUCCUGGCUCAGGAUGAACGCUAGCGGCAGGCUUAACACAUGCAAGUCGAGGGGCAUCGGGAGGGAAGCUUGCUUUCCUUGCCGGCGACCGGCGCACGGGUGAGUAACACGUAUGCAACCUGCCCUCUUCAGGGGGACAACCUUCCGAAAGGGAGGCUAAUCCCGCGUAUAUCGGUUUCGGGCAUCCGAGAUCGAGGAAAGAUUCAUCGGAAGAGGAUGGGCAUGCGGCGCAUUAGCUAGACGGCGGGGUAACGGCCCACCGUGGCGACGAUGCGUAGGGGUUCUGAGAGGAAGGCCCCCCACACUGGUACUGAGACACGGACCAGACUCCUACGGGAGGCAGCAGUGAGGAAUAUUGGUCAAUGGGAGAGAUCCUGAACCAGCCAAGCCGCGUGAGGGAAGACGGCCCUAUGGGUUGUAAACCUCUUUUGUCGGAGAACAAAACCCGGGACGUGUCCCGGACUGCGUGUAUCCGAAGAAAAAGCAUCGGCUAACUCCGUGCCAGCAGCCGCGGUAAUACGGAGGAUGCGAGCGUUAUCCGGAUUUAUUGGGUUUAAAGGGUGCGUAGGCGGUCCGUUAAGUCAGCGGUAAAAUUGCGGGGCUCAAUCCCGUCGAGCCGUUGAAACUGGCAGACUUGAGUUGGCGAGAAGUACGCGGAAUGCGCGGUGUAGCGGUGAAAUGCAUAGAUAUCGCGCAGAACUCCGAUUGCGAAGGCAGCGUACCGGCGCCAGACUGACGCUGAGGCACGAAAGCGUGGGGAUCGAACAGGAUUAGAUACCCUGGUAGUCCACGCAGUAAACGAUGAAUGUUGGUUGUCCGGGUCGAAUGAGAUUUGGGCGGCGAAGCGAAAGCGAUAAGCAUUCCACCUGGGGAGUACGCCGGCAACGGUGAAACUCAAAGGAAUUGACGGGGACCCGCACAAGCGGUGGAGCAUGUGGUUUAAUUCGAAGCAACGCGAAGAACCUUACCAGGCCUCGACGUCCGGAUGGCGUAUGGGCAAUGCCAUAUUUCCUUCGGGACAUCCGAGACAGGUGGUGCAUGGUUGUCGUCAGCUCGUGUCGUGAGAUGUUGGGUCAAGUCCCGCAACGAGCGCAACCCUUGCCCUUAGUAGCCAGCACGUAGAGGUGGGCACUCUAGGGGGACUGCCGGGGACAACCCGGAGGAAGGCGGGGACGACGUCAAAUCAUCAUGCCCCUUAUGGCUUGGGCUACACACGUGCUACAAUGGCGCGGACAGAGGGAUGCGAAGUGGCGACAUGGAGCGAACCCCAAAAACCGCGCCCCAGUUCGGAUUGCAGCCUGCAACUCGGCUGCAUGAAGCCGGAAUCGCUAGUAAUCGCGGAUCAGAACGCCGCGGUGAAUACGUUCCCGGGUCUUGCACACACCGCCCGUCAAG